CUAUAAUGGCAGCGCUAGGUUUUAUAAAAAACGCAAGUGAGGAGUUGAAGGAUGUGGCUUGUUCUGUUUGGAUGAUGCAGGAUUGCUUUAAGCAGUAAGCUUACUGUUUUCAGAUGGCAUUAGCAGCAUCAGUGAUCUAGCUGUGUCAGCCUCCUUGACUACUGGAUGUCUGUAAUCGCACGGAGGAAACUAUAUUUAAGAUCUGAUAUCUUGAGGGUAAUGACUCCAGCACUUACUGAUGGACAGAAUGGCUGUUAAUGCUUUCUUCACUAGCCCAGAAGAUUUUGAGAGAUAGAUGGGUCUGUGAUGCACUUUUGUAAGACAGGAAAUGCAAUUUUUGGGGGUCUCUGGAAAUAGGAAGGUCAUGCAGCUCGGAACCGGUGAGACGUUACAGUCUCUAAGUCAUCAGAUGGGGAAGCUGAGGCACAGAGAUUAAGUGACUUUCCCAAGGCCACACAGCAAGUCAGUGGCAGAUCCAGGAUUAGCACUCGGGGACUUCCUGGAUCCCUCUCCCAUGCUUUAAGCAGUAGACCACAGUGUUCACUGGACUCAGCAAGCAACUCAUUGCAAUUAUGGACAGUUCCAAGGACUCGUACCUGAGAAAUGAUGAAGAGGCUGUUGUGGAUAGAGGUGGAACUCGCUCCAUUCUCAAAACACAUUUUGAGAAGGAAGACCUAGAAGGCCAUCGAACAUUGUUCAUUGGAGUUCAUGUGCCACUGGGUGGAAGAAAAAGUCACCGACGCCAUAGGCACCGUGGACAUAAACACAGAAAGAGAGACAGAGAGCGAGAUUCAGGAUUAGAAGAUGGGAGAGAGUCUCCUCCUUUUGAUACCCCAUCACAAAGGGUGCAGUUUAUUCUUGGAACAGAAGAUGAUGACGAGGAACACAUUCCUCAUGAUCUCUUUACCGAGCUUGAUGAAAUUUGUUGGCGUGAAGGAGAGGACGCGGAGUGGAGGGAGACAGCAAGGUGGUUGAAGUUUGAAGAAGAUGUAGAAGAUGGUGGAGAGAGGUGGAGUAAACCAUAUGUUGCCACACUGUCACUUCAUAGCUUGUUUGAGCUGAGAAGCUGUAUCCUAAAUGGCACAGUUCUUUUGGACAUGAGAGCUAACUCCAUAGAAGAAAUUGCAGAUAUGAUUCUGGACCAGCAGGUGAGUUCUGGGCAGCUCAGUGAGGAUGUUCGUCACAGAGUGCAUGAGGCAUUACUGAAACAGCAUCACCAUCAGAACCAGAAGAAGCUGAGCAACAGGAUCCCAAUUGUGAGAUCCUUUGCUGAUAUUGGAAAGAAGCAGUCUGAGCCCCAUUCCAUGGAUAAAAAUGCAGGUCAGAUUGUUUCCCCACAGUCUGCUCCAGCCUGUAUUGAAAACAAAAAUGAUGUGAGCAGAGAAAAUAGCACUGUUGACUUCAGCAAGGUUGACCUACACUUCAUGAAAAAGAUACCACCUGGAGCUGAAGCGUCGAACAUCUUAGUUGGUGAACUGGAGUUCCUGGACCGUGCGGUUGUUGCUUUUGUUAGGUUAUCUCCUGCAGUGCUGCUUACGGGACUAGCUGAAGUUCCAAUUCCAACAAGAUUUUUGUUUAUUCUUCUUGGACCUUUGGGUAAAGGGCAACAAUACCAUGAGAUUGGAAGAUCAAUUGCAACACUAAUGACAGAUGAGGUGUUCCAUGAUGUUGCUUACAAAGCAAAAGACCGCAAUGACUUAGUGUCCGGCAUCGAUGAGUUUCUUGAUCAGGUUACUGUUCUCCCUCCUGGAGAGUGGGACCCAACAAUUCGAAUAGAACCACCUAAAAAUGUUCCCUCUCAGGAGAAGCGUAAGAUCCCAGGAGUGCCAAAUGGGACUGCAGCCCAUGGGGACGCAGAACAUUCUGGAGGACACUCUGGACCAGAACUGCAACGCACUGGAAAAUUUUUUGGAGGAUUGAUUUUAGAUAUAAAAAGAAAAGCUCCCUUCUUCUGGAGUGACUUCAGGGAUGCUCUCAGUCUGCAGUGUCUGGCAUCAUUUUUGUUUCUCUACUGUGCUUGCAUGUCUCCUGUCAUCACAUUUGGUGGUCUGCUGGGAGAAGCAACUGAAGGUCGUAUAAGUGCAAUAGAAUCGCUGUUUGGAGCAUCCAUGACUGGAAUUGCCUACUCUCUCUUUGGUGGACAGCCUCUCACUAUACUUGGCAGCACCGGACCAGUUUUAGUAUUUGAGAAGAUCUUAUUCAAAUUUUGCAAAGAGUAUGGGUUGUCGUACCUUUCUCUGAGAGCUAGCAUUGGACUGUGGACUGCAAUCCUGUGCAUCAUCCUUGUUGCAACUGAUGCAAGCUCCCUAGUCUGCUACAUUACCCGGUUUACUGAAGAAGCUUUUGCUUCUCUUAUCUGCAUCAUUUUCAUUUAUGAGGCCUUAGAGAAGCUGUUUCAUCUCAGUGAGACAUAUCCAAUCAACAUGCAUAAUGAUUUGGAUCUGCUGACCAAGUACUCAUGUAAUUGUGUGGAACCAGAACAUCCUAGCAAUAAAACCUUACAAUACUGGCAGGACUACAAUAUAUCUGCAUCUGAUGUGCCAUGGGGGAACCUAACUGUGUCAGAAUGUAAAAAGUUUCAUGGAGAGUUUGUUGGACGAGCCUGUGGUCAUCAUGGCCCUUAUGUUCCAGAUGUCCUCUUCUGGUCUGUCAUCUUAUUCUUUUCUACAGUAACGCUGUCAUCCACACUGAAGCAGUUCAAAACUAGCCGAUACUUCCCAACAAAGGUACGAUCUGUUGUCAGCGACUUUGCUGUCUUUCUCACUAUUUUAUCCAUGGUUUUAAUUGACUAUGCCAUUGGGAUUCCAUCACCAAAACUUCAGGUUCCAAACGCUUUUAAGCCCACCAGAGAUGAUCGUGGCUGGUUUAUUACUCCUUUGGGGCCUAAUCCUUGGUGGACAGUGAUAGCUGCUGUAAUUCCAGCCCUGCUUUGUACUAUCCUUAUCUUUAUGGACCAGCAGAUCACAGCUGUCAUUAUCAAUAGAAAAGAACACAAGCUAAAGAAAGGAUGUGGAUACCAUCUCGACCUACUCAUGGUGGCAGUCAUGCUUGGAGUGUGCUCUAUUAUGGGAUUGCCGUGGUUUGUUGCAGCCACCGUCCUCUCUAUUUCCCAUGUGAAUAGCUUAAAACUGGAAUCAGAGUGCUCCGCUCCAGGGGAGCAGCCAAAAUUUCUUGGAAUCCGGGAGCAAAGAGUCACAGGGCUCAUGAUCUUUGUCCUUAUGGGCUCAUCUGUCUUUUUGACAAGUAUCCUGAAGUUUAUUCCUAUGCCAGUACUUUAUGGAGUAUUUCUUUACAUGGGUGCUUCAUCUCUAAAGGGAAUUCAGCUUUUUGACAGGAUAAAGUUAUUCUGGAUGCCUGCAAAGCAUCAGCCAGAUUUUAUAUAUCUGAGGCAUGUUCCUCUUAGAAAGGUCCAUCUCUUCACUAUAAUUCAGCUGAGUUGUCUUGUGCUUCUGUGGAUUAUAAAGGUUUCAAGAGCUGCCAUUGUCUUUCCUAUGAUGGUCCUAGCUUUGGUAUUUGUCCGAAAACUCAUGGAUUUCUUUUUUACUAAGCGGGAGCUCAGUUGGUUAGAUGAUUUGAUGCCUGAGAGCAAGAAAAAGAAACUGGAAGAUGCUGAGAAAGAGGAAGAGCAAAGUAUGUUAGCAAUGGAAGAGGAAGGGACUGUUCAGUUACCACUAGAAGGACAUUACAGAGAUGACCCAUCUGUGAUAAACAUUUCUGAUGAAAUGGCAAAAACUGCUGUUUGGAAGACAUUGUUGAUAUCCUCGGAGAAUGCAAAAGAUAAGGAGUCAAGCUUUCCUUCUAAAAGCUCCCCUUCCUAAUCACUCUAGAUGCUGAUUCCCCAAAGUUAAGGAAUUAUUCCCAUGAAACCUGUGCUGAAAUCAGACCAGAGAAGAAAGCUGACUCAGGGAAAGGCGUUGACCGGGAGACUUGUCUAUGACUUGUUCUUCAAUUAAUUUUUUUACAAAUGAAUGAAAGGAGUGCCACAACCACUAAAUACAAAUGAUUUGACCUUGUAACUUUUGUCUUUCAUCUCAAACUAGCACAGGUAAUGUAGUGCAAUAUUUGUCUCAUUUCACCUUGUCUAAAUGUCUACAUUGUCUAGUAUAUGUGUAAAAGUCUGCAGUAGCCAAUGCAAAAAAUCUUCAUGUUCCUUGCUGAUAUUGGCCAUUUAUCAGUAUUCAUAUCAUAAAUUUAACAUGCAAGGUUUCUUUCAAAUUCAACUAUCCUGUUAAUACGUUUGUACUGUAUUUUGCUACUUUUUCUGUGUGAGAAUACUUAAUAAUCUUCAUUCAAGAUGAACUUGAAAACACUUGUUCCAAUUUUUUUUUUUUAAAUCACCUAACUCAAGUAAAUGAUUUCAGGAGACCCAAACUGACAAGCAAACAUUAACGUUUUUAAAGUAACAACUGAUCUGACCCUGUGAACAAACUAACAAGGAUAAUCCUUUCCUCCUCAAGCUGUCCUUUUGAAGUCAUGGAUUACUCUUGCAAUGAGGAUUGCAGGGUCAGAUUCUGUAUUUGUGAAGUUUUCAUUGAUUUAAUACAGUGUAUUUAAUAUUCAGAUUUGUAUGUAACUGGAACAUAGUCUCAUAU
Molecule: RNA transcript, 4592 nt
Organism: Chroicocephalus ridibundus (black-headed gull)
Lineage: Eukaryota; Metazoa; Chordata; Aves; Charadriiformes; Laridae
Gene: SLC4A10
Gene name: solute carrier family 4 member 10
Exons: 28
Source: RefSeq, a predicted model, not a curated record